GCUUUUUGUUCUUCCUUAUACUGGAGUGCGUGUUUGAUACAUGAGAGAUUGGACAAACUCAUAUUGGUACUACUGGAUCCGGUUCUUGAUCAGCUGGCACCACUAACAUGUAAUCUUCAGUUGCAACUUGUGGCGAAACCAACCUCGCCACUGUGAACUGGAGAAGCCUGGUUGCUCGCCUGCUCCCUUUGGACUAUGGCC
Pelobates cultripes (western spadefoot toad) is the source of this 201-nucleotide non-coding RNA. The record is from the annotation of a GenBank genome assembly. Lineage: Eukaryota; Metazoa; Chordata; Amphibia; Anura; Pelobatidae.